UUCGGGUGGAGCGGCGGACGGGUUAGUAACGCGUGGGAACAUACCCUUUUCUAUGGAAUAGCCUCGGGAAACUGAGAGUAAUACCAUAUACGCCCUUCGGGGGAAAGAUUUAUCGGUGAAGGAUUGGCCCGCGUAAGAUUAGAUAGUUGGUGGGGUAAUGGCCUACCAAGUCUACGAUCUUUAGCUGGUUUUAGAGGAUGAUCAGCAACACUGGGACUGAGACACGGCCCAGACUCCUACGGGAGGCAGCAGUGGGGAAUCUUAGACAAUGGGCGCAAGCCUGAUCUAGCCAUGCCGCGUGAGUGAUGAAGGUCUUAGGAUCGUAAAGCUCUUUCGCUAGGGAUGAUAAUGACAGUACCUAGUAAAGAAGCCCCGGCUAACUCCGUGCCAGCAGCCGCGGUAAUACGGAGGGGGCUAGCGUUGUUCGGAAUUACUGGGCGUAAAGCGUACGUAGGCGGAUCAGAAAGUAAGGGGUGAAAUCCCA
This 484-nucleotide ribosomal RNA is filed under the name uncultured Phaeobacter sp. Its description in RNAcentral is "bacterial SSU rRNA". It matches the Rfam family "Bacterial small subunit ribosomal RNA", at positions 85 to 604 of the family's 1533-position model. Lineage: Bacteria; Pseudomonadati; Pseudomonadota; Alphaproteobacteria; Rhodobacterales; Roseobacteraceae. The record is from RNAcentral.